This 57-nucleotide transfer RNA is filed under the name Bos taurus (domestic cattle). It matches the Rfam family "tRNA", at positions 8 to 63 of the family's 71-position model. Rfam says of the family: Transfer RNA (tRNA) molecules are approximately 80 nucleotides in length. Their secondary structure includes four short double-helical elements and three loops (D, anti-codon, and T loops). Further hydrogen bonds mediate the characteristic L-shaped molecular structure. tRNAs have two regions of fundamental functional importance: the anti-codon, which is responsible for specific mRNA codon recognition, and the 3' end, to which the tRNAs corresponding amino acid is attached (by aminoacyl-tRNA synthetases). tRNAs cope with the degeneracy of the genetic code in two manners: having more than one tRNA (with a specific anti-codon) for a particular amino acid; and 'wobble' base-pairing, i.e. permitting non-standard base-pairing at the 3rd anti-codon position. RNAcentral also lists the same sequence under 1 other name. Lineage: Eukaryota; Metazoa; Chordata; Mammalia; Artiodactyla; Bovidae. The record is from Rfam by way of RNAcentral.
UAGCUCAGAGGUUAAAGUGUCUGCCUGCAAUGCAGGAGACCCAGGUUCAAUCCCUGG